Molecule: ribosomal RNA, 382 nt
Filed under: uncultured eukaryote
Lineage: Eukaryota
Description: partial 18S ribosomal RNA
Rfam family: Eukaryotic small subunit ribosomal RNA
Source: RNAcentral
UGUAAGCGUAUACCAAAGUUGUUGCAGUUAAAAUGCUCGUAGUCGGAAUUUGGCAGUUCCGGAUGUGUGCACGUCGUGUGCGCACUUCGCGGGGAUUGCUUUUGUGGUCUUGCGUAGGAUGAGGCACUUUUAUUAGUGAACGUCCUCACGCAACCACUUUUUACUGUGAGAAAAUCAGAGUGCUCAAAGCAGGCAUUUGCCGUGAAUGUAUUAGCAUGGAAUAAUAGAAUAGGACUUGGUUCUAUUUUGUUGGUUUGUUGGGACUGAGUAAUGAUUAAGAGGGACAGUUGGGGGCAUUUGUAUUUCGGUGCUAGAGGUGAAAUUCUUAGAUUACCGAAAGACAAACUGCUGCGAAAGCGUCUGCCAAGGAUGUUUUCAUUGA